RNAcentral lists this ribosomal RNA (502 nucleotides) under uncultured bacterium. RNAcentral describes it as "partial 16S ribosomal RNA". It matches the Rfam family "Bacterial small subunit ribosomal RNA", at positions 30 to 523 of the family's 1533-position model. The record is from RNAcentral.
AUUGAACGCUGGCGGCAUGCCUUACACAUGCAAGUCGAACGGCAGCACGGGUGCUUGCACCUGGUGGCGAGUGGCGAACGGGUGAGUAAUACAUCGGAACAUGUCCUGUAGUGGGGGAUAGCCCGGCGAAAGCCGGAUUAAUACCGCAUACGAUCUACGGAUGAAAGCGGGGGACCUUCGGGCCUCGCGCUAUAGGGUUGGCCGAUGGCUGAUUAGCUAGUUGGUGGGGUAAAGGCCUACCAAGGCGACGAUCAGUAGCUGGUCUGAGAGGACGACCAGCCACACUGGGACUGAGACACGGCCCAGACUCCUACGGGAGGCAGCAGUGGGGAAUUUUGGACAAUGGGCGAAAGCCUGAUCCAGCAAUGCCGCGUGUGUGAAGAAGGCCUUCGGGUUGUAAAGCACUUUUGUCCGGAAAGAAAUCCUUGGCUCUAAUACAGUCGGGGGAUGACGGUACCGGAAGAAUAAGCACCGGCUAACUACGUGCCAGCCGCCGCCGUAA